GCUAAUACCGCAUACGACCUGGAGGUGAAAGGCGGGGACCGAAAGGCCUCGCGCGAUUGGGAGCGGCCGAUGCCGGAUUAGCUAGUUGGUAGGGUAAAGGCCUACCAAGGCGACGAUCCGUAGCUGGUCUGAGAGGACGACCAGCCACACUGGAACUGAGACACGGUCCAGACUCCUACGGGAGGCAGCAGUGGGGAAUUUUGGACAAUGGGCGAAAGCCUGAUCCAGCCAUUCCGCGUGAGUGAAGAAGGCCUUCGGGUUGUAAAGCUCUUUCGGCAGGAACGAAACGGUGAAGGCUAAUAACCUUUACUAAUGACGGUACCUGAAGAAGAAGCACCGGCUAACUACGUG
Molecule: ribosomal RNA, 351 nt
Filed under: uncultured bacterium
Lineage: Bacteria
Description: bacterial SSU rRNA
Rfam family: Bacterial small subunit ribosomal RNA
Source: RNAcentral